Molecule: ribosomal RNA, 367 nt
Filed under: uncultured bacterium
Lineage: Bacteria
Description: partial 16S ribosomal RNA
Rfam family: Bacterial small subunit ribosomal RNA
Source: RNAcentral
CCUACGGGAGGCAGCAGUGAGGAAUAUUGGUCAAUGGGCGUAAGCCUGAACCAGCCAAGUCGCGUGAGGGAUGAAGGUUCUAUGGAUCGUAAACCUCUUUUAUAAGGGAAUAAAGUGUGGGACGUGUCCGAUUUUGUAUGUACCUUAUGAAUAAGGAUCGGCUAACUCCGUGCCAGCAGCCGCGGUAAUACGGAGGAUCCGAGCGUUAUCCGGAUUUAGUGGGUUUAAAGGGUGCGUAGGCGGCCUUUUAAGUCUGCGGUGAAAGUCUGGGGCUCACCCCUAGAAUUGCCGUUGAAACUGGGGGCCUUUCGUAUGUUUGCGGCAGUCGGCAUGCGUGGUGUAGCGGUGAACUGCUUAGAUCUCACGC